Molecule: long non-coding RNA, 690 nt
Organism: Nematostella vectensis (starlet sea anemone)
Lineage: Eukaryota; Metazoa; Cnidaria; Anthozoa; Actiniaria; Edwardsiidae
Exons: 2
Source: RefSeq, a predicted model, not a curated record
GGCAGCAAUGAAAUGGGCAAGUCAUUAAGGAGGAGAGGUUGGGGGGGGGGGAGGUGGAUCCAGCUAGUGGUAACAGUAAAUGGCAUUUUCAAGGCAACAAGAACUCAUCGACAGUUGGUCAUCAAAGUGUUCUCCGACCAGUUAUAGCUUCAAGAGUUAAGCUGAUUCCAUUAGAAUGGCACAAAAACUUUGGUCUGGCAUGGAACUAUCCGAGUGUGAAGCAGAUGAAUCGAAGCCUGUACGAUUACCAUACUAAUUUCCAGGGAAAAUGUUAGACACAUUAAAAAUAUUGUUUCCAUUUGCUGCAAGUCAUCGGCUUAACUUGCGAUUAAUAUUGAAGCGAUUAAAUAGCUCUUGGAAUGCUCACAGGCGAUCUUUUGCUUUUUAUAUAAUGUGCACCCUAUUUCCUCGGUUCGAUGAAGCACUUAUCCAUAUUUUUCUCUUAGUUGAGGCGCUUAAUAGUGUUAAGUGCAUAAAGGGGAAGCGCUUAUUCGAACAAUUGCGAUACUUACUAUUCAUUAUUAUCUUGAUUUGUUAAUUGAUAGACCGUUAUAUGGACGCCUGGCUUCUCUACAAAGACACAAUUUUUCGCAGAGCUUACUCGACUCAAAGCACUGCACAAUACCAAACAAUCGCAAAUAGCACCGAGGAAAUGGUUUGUUUAAUAACCCAUAUUUCCUUUAUCUAAAA